Molecule: transfer RNA, 85 nt
Filed under: Candidatus Sulfuritelmatomonas gaucii
Lineage: Bacteria; Pseudomonadati; Acidobacteriota; Terriglobia; Terriglobales; Acidobacteriaceae
Description: Candidatus Sulfotelmatomonas gaucii tRNA-Leu
Rfam family: tRNA
About the family: Transfer RNA (tRNA) molecules are approximately 80 nucleotides in length. Their secondary structure includes four short double-helical elements and three loops (D, anti-codon, and T loops). Further hydrogen bonds mediate the characteristic L-shaped molecular structure. tRNAs have two regions of fundamental functional importance: the anti-codon, which is responsible for specific mRNA codon recognition, and the 3' end, to which the tRNAs corresponding amino acid is attached (by aminoacyl-tRNA synthetases). tRNAs cope with the degeneracy of the genetic code in two manners: having more than one tRNA (with a specific anti-codon) for a particular amino acid; and 'wobble' base-pairing, i.e. permitting non-standard base-pairing at the 3rd anti-codon position.
Source: RNAcentral
GCGGAAGUGGUGGAAUUGGCAGACACACCAUCUUGAGGGGGUGGCGCCGUCAGGCAUGCGGGUUCAAGUCCCGCCUUCCGCACCA